GGGGCUGUAGCUCAGUUGGGAGAGCGCUUGAAUGGCAUUCAAGAGGUCAGGGGUUCGACUCCCCUCAGCUCCACAA
This 76-nucleotide transfer RNA is filed under the name Calditrichota bacterium. Its description in RNAcentral is "Calditrichaeota bacterium tRNA-Ala". It matches the Rfam family "tRNA". Rfam says of the family: Transfer RNA (tRNA) molecules are approximately 80 nucleotides in length. Their secondary structure includes four short double-helical elements and three loops (D, anti-codon, and T loops). Lineage: Bacteria; Pseudomonadati; Calditrichota. The record is from RNAcentral.